RNAcentral lists this long non-coding RNA (262 nucleotides) under Elaeis guineensis (African oil palm). RNAcentral's name for it is "long non-coding RNA (EGUI_LNC060543)". The record is from RNAcentral. Lineage: Eukaryota; Viridiplantae; Streptophyta; Magnoliopsida; Arecales; Arecaceae.
ACCGAUCCAUUUACUAAAGCUCUCGAGAUCAAAGAGUUUGAUGAUCACAAAUCGAAGAUGGGUAUAUGAUAUUGUACCGAUUAGGUUAAGUCCAAGUGAGAGUUGUUGGAAAGUGUGUCUCAAUGUCAAUCGUCAGUCUAUUGAUGAUUGUGCUCAUCUUAUAAUUGUAUAUGAAUUUUUAUUGAUAAAAAUUAUUAGAUAUUUUUAUUAUAAAUUAUCUAUCGUUAAACUCUUGUAUUGUAAUGAAGUCCUUAGGACUAUA